RNAcentral lists this ribosomal RNA (848 nucleotides) under uncultured bacterium. RNAcentral describes it as "bacterial SSU rRNA". It matches the Rfam family "Bacterial small subunit ribosomal RNA", at positions 59 to 861 of the family's 1533-position model. The record is from RNAcentral.
AAGUCGAACGAGGUGGCCCACAGAAUUUGAUAGAAACUUUGAGAGCUUGCUCGAGAAGUGGAAAGAGAAGGACGUGGAAUUUCCACCUAGUGGCAAACGGGUGAGUAACACGUGGGUUACCUACCUCUUAGAUGGGGAUACCAAUUGGAAACGAUUGUUAAUACCGAAUGUGAUCUACGGAUUAAAGGAAGCCUUUAAAGCUUCGCUAAGAGAUGGGCAUGCGUUCCAUUAGUUAGUUGGCGGGGUAACGGCCCACCAAGACAACGAUGGAUAGGGGUUCUGAGAGGAAGGUCCCCCACAUUGGAACUGAGACACGGUCCAAACUCCUACGGGAGGCAGCAGUGAGGAAUAUUGGUCAAUGGACGAGAGUCUGAACCAGCCAAGUAGCGUGAAGGAUGACUGCCCUAUGGGUUGUAAACUUCUUUUAUAUGGGAAUAAAAUGUUCCACGUGUGGGAUUUUGUAUGUACCAUAUGAAUAAGGAUCGGCUAACUCCGUGCCAGCAGCCGCGGUAAUACGGAGGAUCCGAGCGUUAUCCGGAUUUAUUGGGUUUAAAGGGAGCGUAGGUGGAUUGUUAAGUCAGUUGUGAAAGUUUGCGGCUCAACCGUAAAAUUGCAGUUGAAACUGGCAGUCUUGAGUACAGUAGAGGUGGGCGGAAUUCGUGGUGUAGCGGUGAAAUGCUUAGAUAUCACGAAGAACUCCGAUUGCGAAGGCAGCUCACUGGACUGCAACUGACACUGAGGCUCGAAAGUGUGGGUAUCAAACAGGAUUAGAUACCCUGGUAGUCCACACAGUAAACGAUGAAUACUCGCUGUUUGCGAUAUACGGCAAGCGGCCAAGCGAAAGCAUU